Molecule: ribosomal RNA, 365 nt
Filed under: Pantoea sp.
Lineage: Bacteria; Pseudomonadati; Pseudomonadota; Gammaproteobacteria; Enterobacterales; Erwiniaceae
Description: bacterial SSU rRNA
Rfam family: Bacterial small subunit ribosomal RNA
Source: RNAcentral
CGGGUGACGAGUGGCGGACGGGUGAGUAAUGUCUGGGGAUCUGCCCGAUAGAGGGGGAUAACCACUGGAAACGGUGGCUAAUACCGCAUAACGUCGCAAGACCAAAGAGGGGGACCUUCGGGCCUCUCACUAUCGGAUGAACCCAGAUGGGAUUAGCUAGUAGGCGGGGUAACGGCCCACCUAGGCGACGAUCCCUAGCUGGUCUGAGAGGAUGACCAGCCACACUGGAACUGAGACACGGUCCAGACUCCUACGGGAGGCAGCAGUGGGGAAUAUUGCACAAUGGGCGCAAGCCUGAUGCAGCCAUGCCGCGUGUAUGAAGAAGGCCUUCGGGUUGUAAAGUACUUUCAGCGGGGAGGAAGGCG